This is a non-coding RNA of Microcebus murinus (gray mouse lemur), 553 nucleotides long. Lineage: Eukaryota; Metazoa; Chordata; Mammalia; Primates; Cheirogaleidae. The record is from RefSeq and is a predicted model, not a curated record.
UUCGCCAUUGGCCAGGGGGUCAAAGAGGCUUAAUCUGAAGGAGGCAUUCAGGUCAAAUGCUCAGAGUGGCCUGUUAGGACCUGGGCCACACGGGAGGAGGAAGGACGUUAAUGACACUCCAGGGACUAGAGAUAGACGUUAGAAGAACUACUACAUUUUUCUCCUCCCAAUAGUCUUACUGUGGCCCCGGGUCUAAGAUAAAUAAAAGAGGAGGAAAGACGUGAGUACCCCCAAGACUUAUAAGCCUUAAACUUUGACCAUGUGAACCCUGUGGGACUCGGGAGAGCAGAGAUGGAAGAGCACUACAGAGAUCCACACUCUUCCCUGAAGAAGGAAAUUUUCAGACGAAAUUUCCCGUCUGUAGUUUAAGUACAGCUGCUUUUGUGCUGGGACUUCCAGGGUUGGAUGCAAGCCCUGACUCUUCCGAGCCAUUUAGCCAUGGUCUCGACAGCUCAGGAAUGUUUCUUUGGUUUUUAAUGAAGCUGAAAAAGUUUGUUAGCUCUGGUGUGUUUGAACCUGUAAGAUUUCUAAGUCAGUCUGACUGAAUAGAAGU